UCCGGCAUGGUCUAGUGGCUAGGAUACGCGGCUCUCACCCGCGAGGCCCGGGUUCGAUUCCCGGUGUCGGAA
RNAcentral lists this transfer RNA (72 nucleotides) under Galendromus occidentalis (western predatory mite). RNAcentral describes it as "tRNA-Glu". It matches the Rfam family "tRNA". Rfam says of the family: Transfer RNA (tRNA) molecules are approximately 80 nucleotides in length. Their secondary structure includes four short double-helical elements and three loops (D, anti-codon, and T loops). Further hydrogen bonds mediate the characteristic L-shaped molecular structure. tRNAs have two regions of fundamental functional importance: the anti-codon, which is responsible for specific mRNA codon recognition, and the 3' end, to which the tRNAs corresponding amino acid is attached (by aminoacyl-tRNA synthetases). tRNAs cope with the degeneracy of the genetic code in two manners: having more than one tRNA (with a specific anti-codon) for a particular amino acid; and 'wobble' base-pairing, i.e. permitting non-standard base-pairing at the 3rd anti-codon position. RNAcentral also lists the same sequence under 3 other names. The record is from RNAcentral. Lineage: Eukaryota; Metazoa; Arthropoda; Arachnida; Mesostigmata; Phytoseiidae.